Molecule: ribosomal RNA, 460 nt
Filed under: uncultured bacterium
Lineage: Bacteria
Description: bacterial SSU rRNA
Rfam family: Bacterial small subunit ribosomal RNA
Source: RNAcentral
CGCUGGCGGCGCGCCUAACACAUGCAAGUCGAACGGUGACGAAGGAGCUUGCUCCUUCUGAUCAGUGGCGGACGGGUGAGUAACGCGUGAGUAACCUACCUUCAGGAGGGGGACAACAUUCCGAAAGGGAUGCUAAUACCGCAUGACAUACAUUUGAGGCAUCUCAGAUGUAUCAAAGAUUUAUCGCCUGAAGAUGGACUCGCGUCUGAUUAGCUAGUUGGUGGGGUAACGGCCUACCAAGGCGACGAUCAGUAGCCGAACUGAGAGGUUGAUCGGCCACAUUGGGACUGAGACACGGCCCAGACUCCUACGGGAGGCAGCAGUGGGGAAUAUUGCACAAUGGGCGCAAGCCUGAUGCAGCAACGCCGCGUGAGGGAAGACGGUUUUCGGAUUGUAAACCUCUGUCUUUGGUGACGAAGAAGUGACGGUAGCCAAGGAGGAAGCCACGGCUAACUACGUG